This 1543-nucleotide long non-coding RNA is filed under the name Salmo salar (Atlantic salmon). Its description in RNAcentral is "lncRNA (ENSSSAG00000120863.1)". Lineage: Eukaryota; Metazoa; Chordata; Actinopteri; Salmoniformes; Salmonidae. The record is from RNAcentral.
CUGAAGACUAUUUUAGGAAGGCAGAGGUCAUCUUCUCUCUGCUGACUUCGUCUGGAUUUCCCCAGAAGAACUGGAUGAGAGGUUCUCAGCGUAACAUGAAUGGACAGAGUGAGGACUGCUUGGCACUGCUGAAAAUCAAUGGUGAAGCAGGCUUUGAUGACAUGAGCUGUUCCGGAAUCGUCACCUCUGCCAAAACUCUCUGCAAGAUUCAUACUUCAAUGGACUGACUUUCGUAGGAGUCCAAACAGAGAGUGGAAAAGGGGUUUUGCCAACUCUCUGAUUUUCUUUUUCUAGUAUCGCACAAAAUUGUUCUGAGUUUGAUUUAAGUUGAGUACAAUAUAAUGAAAGGUGACGCAAUGGCUACAGAUACAUACACAAUGAUACAUUGAUUCAAUUGUAUUUUUGAAAGCAGAGUAAACACUUGAGUAAACAAGGGAUACAAAGAAUAUUUGAAAGCACGUGCUUCCACACAGGUGUGGUUCCUGAGUUAAUUAAGCAAUUAACAUCCCAUCAUGGUUAGGGUCAUGUAUAAAAUGCUGGGCAGGCCAUUAUUUUGGCUACCAUGGUUAUGCCCCCAUAGAAUCCACAGGGCACGAAUGGUCACUGAAUCGUUUGAUGAACAUGAAAUCGAUAUAAACCAUAUGUCAUGGCCGUCUCAGUCAAUAGAUCUCAACGCAACUGAACACUUAUUGGAGAUUUGGGAGCGUUGCCUGAGUCAGCAUUUUCCACCACCAUCAACAAAACACAAACUGAUGUAAAUUCUCGUGGAAGAAUGAUUUCGCAUCCCUCCAAUAGAGUUCCAGACACUUGUAGAAUCUAUGCCAAGGUGCAUUGAAGCUCAUGAUUGCUCGUGGUGGUCCAACACCCUGUUAAGAUACUUUAUGUAGGUGUUUCCUUUACUUGGACAGUUACCUUUCAAUACAUAAUGAUACUUUGAUUCAAUUAUAUUUUGGGUGGUCUUUUUUUUAUUGAAAAUUAUUGUCAGGUUUUGCAAUGGAAUUGUCCCUAUACAGAUGUGGCAUCUGAAUUUGAUCAUUAUUUUCUUGCUGAGGAAAUGCAACUUGUUGUGCAUACAAGGUUUUUAAAGGCUUUUAAAAUUUGCAAUUUCCAUUUUAAAAUGUCAGACUUGAUUAGCCCUAAAAAAUAUGUAUCAACCCCUACAAAAAAUGGCCAUGAAUUAUAAUCCACAUAAUAAUUCACAUUUCCUGUUGCUUCAGGAUCAUUUUCUGUAACAUACUGUAACAUACUGGCUCAAAUUAAGAUCUUACAUCAGUGUCACGUUCUGACCAGUAAAGGGGUUAUUUGUUAUUGUAGUUUGGUCAGGAUGUGGCAGGGGGUAUUUGUUUUAUGUGGUUCGGGGUGUGUGUUUAUGUAGAGGGGUGUUUGGUUAGUGUUUUCCGGGUUUUUGGGGCUAUGUUCUAGUCUAGUCUUUUUAGUUCUAUGUUUAGUUAAUUGAUUUGGCCUUCAAUUGGAGGCAGCUGCUCCACAUUGCCUCUGAUUGAAGGUCCUAUAUAGAGGGGUGUGUUUUGUAUGGGUUUUGUGG